UACGUAGGUGGCAAGCGUUGUCCGGAUUUACUGGGCGUAAAGGGAGCGUAGGCGGAUCUUUAAGUGGGAUGUGAAAUACUCGGGCUCAACCUGGGGGCUGCAUUCCAAACUGGAGAUCUAGAGUACAGGAGGGGAGAGUGGAAUUCCUAGUGUAGCGGUGAAAUGCGUAGAGAUUAGGAAGAACACCAGUGGCGAAGGCGACUCUCUGGACAAAGACUGACGCUCAGGUGCGAAAGCGUGGGGAGCAAACAGG
Molecule: ribosomal RNA, 253 nt
Filed under: uncultured bacterium
Lineage: Bacteria
Description: partial 16S ribosomal RNA
Rfam family: Bacterial small subunit ribosomal RNA
Source: RNAcentral